RNAcentral lists this ribosomal RNA (450 nucleotides) under uncultured prokaryote. RNAcentral's name for it is "bacterial SSU rRNA". It matches the Rfam family "Bacterial small subunit ribosomal RNA", at positions 355 to 796 of the family's 1533-position model. The record is from RNAcentral.
UGGGGAAUUUUCCGCAAUGGGCGCAAGCCUGAUCCAGCAACUCCGCGUGAGGGAUGAAGGCCCUCGGGUCGUAAACCUCUGUCAGAAGGGAAGAACUCCCUCGUUUCGAAUAGGGAUGAGGGCUGACGGUACCUUCAAAGGAAGCACCGGCUAACUCCGUGCCAGCAGCCGCGGUAAUACGGAGGGUGCAAGCGUUGUUCGGAAUUAUUGGGCGUAAAGCGGGUGUAGGCGGCUUUGCAAGUCAGAUGUGAAAUCCCUGGGCCCAACCCAGGAACUGCAUUUGAUACUGCAUCGCUAGAGUCCCGGAGAGGAUGGCGGAAUUCCAGGUGUAGAGGUGAAAUUCGUAGAUAUCUGGAGGAACACCAGUGGCGAAGGCGGCCAUCUGGACGGUGACUGACGCUCAGACCCGAAAGCGUGGGGAGCAAACAGGAUUAGAUACCCGCGUAGUCC